Molecule: long non-coding RNA, 390 nt
Filed under: Drosophila guanche
Lineage: Eukaryota; Metazoa; Arthropoda; Insecta; Diptera; Drosophilidae
Source: RNAcentral
UUCGAGUGGUGCGCUUAAAGACUUUAUUGUAUCUGAAAGCUAUUAAAAAAUUUAAUUCUUUAGUCUUAUGGCAGUUCCUUAUGUCUUAUGUUCUUCCGUCGGUUCACUGUAUAGCAAUCUCAGAUGCGCCGAGAGGCCUUGAUCAUAAAACUGAACUGACUUGUAGCCUGAAAUUAUCGCACAAGUCCCACCCAGCCUGUCGGUUAUGCCUUAAAGUCUUAAUGGCCGCUCUGUAUAAUCCACAAGGUUCGCUGGUUAGCCGAUUUUGAACGCUGCCAAGGCAUGGCUGCCAGUUCCAUCCCAGUUCCAUUUCACAAUUAGUCGGGGCUGGGCAACUUUUCCCGACCCUGCCACGAAAUUGAAAUUAUAAUUUUCAACCGCAAUCAACCG